CCUACGGGAGGCAGCAGUGAGGAAUAUUGGUCAAUGGGCGUAAGCCUGAACCAGCCAAGUCGCGUGAGGGAUGAAGGUUCUAUGGAUCGUAAACCUCUUUUAUAAGGGAAUAAAGUGUGGGACGUGUCCUGUUUUGUAUGUACCUUAUGAAUAAGGAUCGGCUAACUCCGUGCCAGCAGCCGCGGUAAUACGGAGGAUCCGAGCGUUAUCCGGAUUUAUUGGGUUUAAAGGGUGCGUAGGCGGCCUUUUAAGUCAGCGGUGAAAGUCUGUGGCUCAACCAUAGAAUUGCCGUUGAAACUGGGAGGCUUGAGUAUGUUUGAGGCAGGUGGAACGCGUGGUGUAGCGGUGAAAUGCUUAGAUAUCACGCAGAACCCCGAUUGCGAAGGCAGCCUGCCAAGCCAUGACUGACGCUGAUGCACGAAAGCGUGGGGAUCAAACAGGAUUAGAUACCCCAGUAGUC
RNAcentral lists this ribosomal RNA (460 nucleotides) under uncultured bacterium. RNAcentral describes it as "partial 16S ribosomal RNA". It matches the Rfam family "Bacterial small subunit ribosomal RNA", at positions 338 to 795 of the family's 1533-position model. The record is from RNAcentral.